This 526-nucleotide ribosomal RNA is filed under the name uncultured bacterium. Its description in RNAcentral is "bacterial SSU rRNA". It matches the Rfam family "Bacterial small subunit ribosomal RNA", at positions 777 to 1302 of the family's 1533-position model. The record is from RNAcentral.
AAUAGAUACCCGGGUAGUCCACGCCCUAAACGAUGAUUACUCGACAUACGCGAUACACAGUGUGUGUCUGAGCGAAAGCAUUAAGUAAUCCACCUGGGAAGUACGUCCGCAAGGAUGAAACUCAAAGGAAUUGACGGGGGUCCGCACAAGCGGUGGAGUAUGUGGUUUAAUUCGAUGAUACGCGAGGAACCUUACCUGGGCUAGAAUGCCAUUUGACCGCCGGUGAAAGCUGGUUUUGUAGCAAUACACAGAUGGCAAGGUGCUGCAUGGCUGUCGUCAGCUCGUGCCGUGAGGUGUUGGGUUAGGUCCCGCAACGAGCGCAACCCCCAUCUUCAGUUGCCAGCACGUAAUGGUGGGAACUCUGAAGAAACUGCCGUCGUAAGACGUGAGGAAGGAGGGGACGAUGUCAAGUCAUCAUGGCCUUUAUGCCCAGGGCUACACACGUACUACGAAUGGGGAGGACAAAGGGCAGCGACCUGGUAACAGGAAGCUAAUCUCAAAAAACCUCUUCUCAGUUCAGAUUGUA